This 253-nucleotide ribosomal RNA is filed under the name uncultured bacterium. RNAcentral describes it as "partial 16S ribosomal RNA". It matches the Rfam family "Bacterial small subunit ribosomal RNA", at positions 524 to 776 of the family's 1533-position model. The record is from RNAcentral.
UACGUAGGGGGCAAGCGUUGUCCGGAUUUAUUGGGCGUAAAGAGCGUGUAGGCGGCCAGGUAGGUCCGCUGUGAAAACUCGAGGCUCAACCUCGAGAUGUCGGCUGAAACCAUCUGGCUAGAGUCCGGAAGAGGAGAGUGGAAUUCCUGGUGUAGCGGUGAAAUGCGCAGAUAUCAGGAAGAACACCCGUGGCGAAGGCGGCUCUCUGGGACGGUACUGACGCUGAGACGCGAAAGCGUGGGGAGCGAACAGG